UUGUGGUUCAUGACUGGGGUGAAGUCGUAACAAGGUAGCGCUAGGGGAACCUGGCGCUGGAUCACCUCCUUACACGA
RNAcentral lists this ribosomal RNA (77 nucleotides) under Vibrio cholerae. Its description in RNAcentral is "partial 16S ribosomal RNA". It matches the Rfam family "Bacterial small subunit ribosomal RNA", at positions 1462 to 1533 of the family's 1533-position model. The record is from RNAcentral. Lineage: Bacteria; Pseudomonadati; Pseudomonadota; Gammaproteobacteria; Vibrionales; Vibrionaceae.